GACGAACGCUGGCGGCGCGCUUAACACAUGCAAGUCGAGCGAAGCGGCGGACGGGUGAGUAACACGUGAGUAACCUGCCUUAGACAUUGGGAUAGCCUCGGGAAACCGGGAUUAAUACCAAAUGGUCUAAGAUGGACUCGCGUCCCAUUAGUUGGUUGGUGAGGUAACGGCCCACCAAGGGGACGAUGGGUAGCCGGGCAGUGAGAGUGAGCGGACACAUUGAACCUGGGAAGCGGUGCGGAAUCUACGGAAGGGAGGAAUGGGGAAUAUAGCACAAUGGAGGGAACUCUGAAGCAGUGAGGCCGGGUAAACGAAGAAGGCUUUCGAGUAGUAAAGUUCUUUUAUAUGGGAAGCGGUACCAUAAGAAAAAGCCCCGGCUAACUACGUGCCAGCAGCCGCGGUAAUUC
This 407-nucleotide ribosomal RNA is filed under the name uncultured bacterium. Its description in RNAcentral is "partial 16S ribosomal RNA". It matches the Rfam family "Bacterial small subunit ribosomal RNA", at positions 28 to 526 of the family's 1533-position model. The record is from RNAcentral.